AUUGAACGCUGGCGGCAGGCUUAACACAUGCAAGUCGAGCGGGGUGAUGGUGCUUGCACUAUCACUUAGCGGCGGACGGGUGAGUAAUGCUUAGGAAUCUGCCUAUUAGUGGGGGACAACAUCUCGAAAGGGAUGCUAAUACCGCAUACGUCCUACGGGAGAAAGCAGGGGAUCACUUGUGACCUUGCGCUAAUAGAUGAGCCUAAGUCGGAUUAGCUAGUUGGUGGGGUAAAGGCCUACCAAGGCGACGAUCUGUAGCGGGUCUGAGAGGAUGAGCCGCCACACUGGGACUGAGACACGGCCCAGACUCCUACGGGAGGCAGCAGUGGGGAAUAUUGGACAAUGGGGGGAACCCUGAUCCAGCCAUGCCGCGUGUGUGAAGAAGGCCUUAUGGUUGUAAAGCACUUUAAGCGAGGAGGAGGCUCUUUUGGUUAAUACCCAAGAUGAGUGGACGUUACUCGCAGAAUAAGCACCGGCUAGCUACGUGCCAGCCGCCGCGGUAA
This 503-nucleotide ribosomal RNA is filed under the name uncultured bacterium. Its description in RNAcentral is "partial 16S ribosomal RNA". It matches the Rfam family "Bacterial small subunit ribosomal RNA", at positions 30 to 523 of the family's 1533-position model. The record is from RNAcentral.